AGUGGCCCCGAAUUUUUGAGAGUGUUAGAAUUAAUAUAGGCCAAACAACAACUAGAAAAAAGUCGGCGCUGGUGGCCACCGUCUUCGAUGUGGGAUGAACUCGGAUACACAGAAGCAUGGAUCUUACAAUGUGCAAGCAUCUCCUCCAAGUAAUGGUGAAGUCGCUAUGGGAAGUAGUAGCAAAUUGAACGAAACCACCGCGUUAUCGUGGUCCUCGGGGGCCUGACCAGCCCGCCGUCAUCCAAGCACUGACCAACCUGCCUACCGACGUCAGCUCCCUGCCCUGAAACCCCUGGCCAGCCCACCGUCCUCGGCACCUUGCCUAAUUCCUAUCCUGAGGGCAGUGCCUGUAAAUAAACUGUUUGAAGAUA
Molecule: long non-coding RNA, 371 nt
Filed under: Dermacentor andersoni
Lineage: Eukaryota; Metazoa; Arthropoda; Arachnida; Ixodida; Ixodidae
Description: uncharacterized LOC126544522
Source: RNAcentral